Molecule: ribosomal RNA, 519 nt
Filed under: Venturia nashicola
Lineage: Eukaryota; Fungi; Ascomycota; Dothideomycetes; Venturiales; Venturiaceae
Description: eukaryotic LSU rRNA
Rfam family: 5.8S ribosomal RNA (bases 183-336)
Source: RNAcentral
UAGGUGAACCUGCGGAAGGAUCAUUACUGGGUUAGCCUCCGGGCGCAACUCCACCCUUUGUAACCGCGGCCCGGAUUCGGCGCCUGGCGGAGGGCACCCCCCGCUCGCGGGGGCCUCCGCCUGCCGGAAUCAGCCAACCCUGCCUGGAAAAUCGAAGUCUGAGAACGAGUUAAAUCGAACAAAACUUUCAACAACGGAUCUCUUGGUUCUGGCAACGAUGAAGAACGCAGCGAAAUGCGAUAAGUAAUGUGAAUUGCAGAAUUCAGUGAAUCAUCGAAUCUUUGAACGCACAUUGCGCCCCCUGGUAUUCCGGGGGGCACACCUGUUCGAGCGCCAUUUCUACCCUGGAGCCACGCUCUGUGAUGGGCCCCGUCCUCGCGGACAGGCCCGAAACCCGUGGGCGCCGUCGUCCGGCCCUGAGCGUAGCAAGAGAAAUCCCUCGCUCGGAGUGCCUGGCGGCCGGUCGCCCCGAACCCAUUUCUACAAGGUUGGCCUCGGAUCAGGUGGCAGCCAAGCCCC